UACGAGGGGGGCAAGCGUUGUUCGGAUUCAUUGGGCGUAAAGCGUGCGCAGGCGGUUUUGUAAGUCUGACGUGAAAGCCCCGGGCUUAACCUGGGAACUGCAUUUGUGACUGCAUGGCUAGAGUGUGUCAGAGGGGGGUAGAAUUCCACGUGUAGCAGUGAAAUGCGUAGAUAUGUGGAGGAAUACCGAUGGCGAAGGCAGCCCCCUGGGAUAACACUGACGCUCAUGCACGAAAGCGUGGGGAGCAAACAGG
RNAcentral lists this ribosomal RNA (253 nucleotides) under uncultured bacterium. Its description in RNAcentral is "partial 16S ribosomal RNA". It matches the Rfam family "Bacterial small subunit ribosomal RNA", at positions 524 to 776 of the family's 1533-position model. The record is from RNAcentral.